This 459-nucleotide ribosomal RNA is filed under the name uncultured Methanomethylovorans sp. RNAcentral's name for it is "bacterial SSU rRNA". It matches the Rfam family "Archaeal small subunit ribosomal RNA", at positions 878 to 1338 of the family's 1478-position model. The record is from RNAcentral. Lineage: Archaea; Methanobacteriati; Methanobacteriota; Methanomicrobia; Methanosarcinales; Methanosarcinaceae.
ACUACAACGGGUGGAGCCUGCGGUUUAAUUGGACUCAACGCCGGAAACUCACCGGGGGCGACAGCAAUAUGUAGGUCAAGCUAAAGACUUUACCAGAAUCGCUGAGAGGAGGUGCAUGGCCGUCGUCAGUUCGUACUGUGAAGCAUCCUGUUAAGUCAGGCAACGAGCGAGACCCGUGCCCACUGUUGCCAGCAUGUCCUUCGGGAUGAUGGGUACUCUGUGGGACCGCCGAUGCUAAAUCGGAGGAAGGUGCGGGCUACGGUAGGUCAGUAUGCCCCGAAUCUCCCGGGCUACACGCGGGCUACAAUGACUGGGACAAUGGGCUCCUACCCCGAAAGGGGAUGGUAAUCUCAUAAACCCAGCCUUAGUUCGGAUCGAGGGCUGUAACCCGCCCUCGUGAAGCUGGAAUCCGUAGUAAUCGCGUUUCAACAUAGCGCGGUGAAUACGUCCCUGCUCCUU